GCCUACGGGGCGCAGCAGUGAGGAAUAUUGGUCAAUGGUCGGGAGACUGAACCAGCCAAGCCGCGUGAGGGAUGAAGGCACAGAGUAUCGUAAACCUCUUUUGUUAGGGAACAAAGGCGGGGACGCGUCCCCGGAUGAGUGUACCUGAAGAAAAAGCAUCGGCUAACUCCGUGCCAGCAGCCGCGGUAAUACGGAGGAUGCGAGCGUUAUCCGGAUUUAUUGGGUUUAAAGGGUGCGCAGGCGGUCUGUUAAGUCAGCGGUCAAAGCCCGGGGCUCAACCCCGGCCCGCCGUUGAAACUGGCAGU
This 305-nucleotide ribosomal RNA is filed under the name uncultured bacterium. Its description in RNAcentral is "bacterial SSU rRNA". It matches the Rfam family "Bacterial small subunit ribosomal RNA", at positions 337 to 640 of the family's 1533-position model. The record is from RNAcentral.